AAGCCAGCUAAUUGAUCUGCUUAUCACAAUGUUUAUGCAGAGAAAUUUAGGAAAGACUGGCAAUAAUGAUGCCAUGUUAAGAGCCUUAAGGACAGCUGAAGUCUUUAAGGUCCCUGAAAAUGGCUACACAC
Small nucleolar RNA from Mastomys coucha (southern multimammate mouse), 131 nucleotides. RefSeq annotates it as small nucleolar RNA SNORA33. NCBI's taxonomy places the organism in Eukaryota, Metazoa, Chordata, Mammalia, Rodentia, Muridae. The record is from RefSeq and is a predicted model, not a curated record. The transcript has a single exon.